ACAAAUCUUUUUACAAGCAUUACAAUUGGAACGAUACAGAGAAGAUUAGCAUGGACCCUACGCAAGGAUGACACACACAAAUCGAGAAAUGGUCCAAAAUUUU
This is a small nuclear RNA of Erigeron canadensis, 103 nucleotides long. The record is from RefSeq and is a predicted model, not a curated record. NCBI's taxonomy places the organism in Eukaryota, Viridiplantae, Streptophyta, Magnoliopsida, Asterales, Asteraceae.